This 323-nucleotide ribosomal RNA is filed under the name uncultured Mycoplasmatota bacterium. Its description in RNAcentral is "bacterial SSU rRNA". It matches the Rfam family "Bacterial small subunit ribosomal RNA", at positions 28 to 351 of the family's 1533-position model. The record is from RNAcentral. Lineage: Bacteria; Bacillati; Mycoplasmatota.
GAUGAACGCUGGCGGCGUGCCUAAUACAUGCAAGUCGAACGAGAGCACUUGUGCUCUAGUGGCGAACGGGUGAGUAACACGUAGGUAACCUGCCCUUAAGACGAGGAUAACCGUUGGAAACGAUGGCUAAGACUGGAUAGGAGCAUUAGAGGCAUCUCUGAUGUUUUAAAAGACCUAGCAAUAGGUAUGCUUAAGGAGGGGCCUGCGGCGCAUUAGUUAGUUGGUGAGGUGAAGGCUUACCAAGACGAUGAUGCGUAGCCGGACUGAGAGGUUGAACGGCCACAUUGGGACUGAGAGACGGCCCAAACUCCUACGGGAGGCAG